Molecule: ribosomal RNA, 253 nt
Filed under: uncultured bacterium
Lineage: Bacteria
Description: partial 16S ribosomal RNA
Rfam family: Bacterial small subunit ribosomal RNA
Source: RNAcentral
UACGUAGGGGGCAAGCGUUGUCCGGAAUCAUUGGGCGUAAAGAGCGUGUAGGCGGCUCGGUAAGUCCGCUGUAAAAGUCCAGGGCUCAACCCUGGAAAGCCGGUGGAAACUGUCGAGCUAGAGUCCGGAAGAGGCGAGUGGAAUUCCUGGUGUAGCGGUGAAAUGCGCAGAUAUCAGGAGGAACACCAAUGGCGAAGGCAGCUCGCUGGGACGGUACUGACGCUGAGGUGCGAAAGCGUGGGGAGCAAACAGG